UGACAAAACACACAGACUGACACCACGGUUCUUAUGAACAUUAAGGGUGAGAUUACGUCACGAGAGUUUAUUGUCAUUUGAAUCGUAAUAUGAUUUUUUUCGAAUCCUGAGAAAACCAAGUAUUUUAGAAAAAUUAAACGCAGGAUGCAAGAUUACAUUAUUACCGAGGGCGGAAAGCCCCUUAGAAUAAACAAGCAGAUUCUAUUGAAUGAAAUAUUUGAAAUUAAAUAUCACACUUCUCUUUUAUUUUCAGCCCUGUAACUUAUUAAAAUAAACAUUAUAGAAGUUUUCAGGGACUUUCAGCCCUCGGUAAUAAUGUAGUCUUCCAUUCUGAGUUUAAAUUUUUCAAAAAUAUUUAUUAGUUUUCUCAGUAUUCGAAAAAAAUUAAUACAAUAGGCCGUUCCAACAUGCUGUCAAAAUUAAAUCAAUAUGGCUACUGGAAGUAAAACAUAAAUGUUAUUCUAUAGGUUCUUAAUGUGUUUUAGAUGUUUUUAGAUCAUUUUUGUUGUGUUUCUUUGUAAUUUUGUGUGAUACAAAGAUUAAUUGAACAUUUUCACUGGAAGAAUUAAUUUAAGAACAUAAAAUGCCUAAUUGCUGUUGUGUUUUGAAGUGUGGAAUGCGAAGUAAUCGUGAUAAAGUUCACUUUUACCGCUAACCAUCAGUGCUACAUUUUAAACACAAAACUGAACUAAAUAAGUUAUCAUCUGAGAGACAAGAACAAUGGUUACAUGCAAUAAAACGUAAAGGUUUUACAAGCGAAAUGAAAAUUAAGAAUGCCCGUGUCUGCUCCAAUCAUUUUCUAUCUGGAAAACCAGCCGACUUAACGGAUAAAAACAAUCCAGAUUGGGUUCCUUCAAUAAAUAUGGGCUAUAAACACAAUGAAAUAAGUUCCCCAAAAUCUAUAAUGAAGUGGUAUCAAAGGAGAAUUAAAAGAAAAAAUAUUCAUAUUGAAAUUAUUUAUAAGGCACUGGACUGUCUUAAAUUCUACAAAUACUAGAAUCAGCUGAGAGAAGUGAUGUACAAAAAAACUAGGAAGGGAAUGGAAUAUGUGGCUACGAAAGGCAAAAGAAAUGAUUACAAAGCAAAUGUGACACAUUUUUUUAAAAAUAUGUAGGAAUAUCAGUAAACUACAUUAAAAAUGUAUGAAAAGAUUUUGUGCAAUAAAAAUGUUUAUAUUUA
This is a long non-coding RNA of Diabrotica virgifera virgifera (western corn rootworm), 1179 nucleotides long. RefSeq lists it as uncharacterized. The transcript has 3 exons. Lineage: Eukaryota; Metazoa; Arthropoda; Insecta; Coleoptera; Chrysomelidae. The record is from RefSeq and is a predicted model, not a curated record.